RNAcentral lists this ribosomal RNA (1038 nucleotides) under Salmonella enterica. RNAcentral's name for it is "partial 23S ribosomal RNA". It matches the Rfam family "Bacterial large subunit ribosomal RNA", at positions 1216 to 2238 of the family's 2925-position model. Lineage: Bacteria; Pseudomonadati; Pseudomonadota; Gammaproteobacteria; Enterobacterales; Enterobacteriaceae. RNAcentral also lists the same sequence under 1 other name. The record is from RNAcentral.
AUGCGUUGUUGGGUAGGGGAGCGUUCUGUAAGCCUGUGAAGGUGUGUCGUGAGGCAUGCUGGAGGUAUCAGAAGUGCGAAUGCUGACAUAAGUAACGAUAAAGCGGGUGAAAAGCCCGCUCGCCGGAAGACCAAGGGUUCCUGUCCAACGUUAAUCGGGGCAGGGUGAGUCGACCCCUAAGGCGAGGCCGAAAGGCGUAGUCGAUGGGAAACGGGUUAAUAUUCCCGUACUUGGUGUUACUGCGAAGGGGGGACGGAGAAGGCUAUGUUGGCCGGGCGACGGUUGUCCCGGUUUAAGCGUGUAGGCUGGUUUUCCAGGCAAAUCCGGAAAAUCAAGGCUGAGGCGUGACGACGAGGCACUACGGUGCUGAAGCAACAAAUGCCCUGCUUCCAGGAAAAGCCUCUAAGCAUCAGGUAACAUCAAAUCGUACCCCAAACCGACACAGGUGGUCAGGUAGAGAAUACCAAGGCGCUUGAGAGAACUCGGGUGAAGGAACUAGGCAAAAUGGUGCCGUAACUUCGGGAGAAGGCACGCUGACACGUAGGUGAAGUGAUUUACUCAUGGAGCUGAAGUCAGUCGAAGAUACCAGCUGGCUGCAACUGUUUAUUAAAAACACAGCACUGUGCAAACACGAAAGUGGACGUAUACGGUGUGACGCCUGCCCGGUGCCGGAAGGUUAAUUGAUGGGGUCAGCGCAAGCGAAGCUCCUGAUCGAAGCCCCGGUAAACGGCGGCCGUAACUAUAACGGUCCUAAGGUAGCGAAAUUCCUUGUCGGGUAAGUUCCGACCUGCACGAAUGGCGUAAUGAUGGCCAGGCUGUCUCCACCCGAGACUCAGUGAAAUUGAACUCGCUGUGAAGAUGCAGUGUACCCGCGGCAAGACGGAAAGACCCCGUGAACCUUUACUAUAGCUUGACACUGAACAUUGAGCCUUGAUGUGUAGGAUAGGUGGGAGGCUUUGAAGUGUGGACGCCAGUCUGCAUGGAGCCGACCUUGAAAUACCACCCUUUAAUGUUUGAUGUUCUAACGUGGACCCGUUA